AUUGAAUCAGUGUUUAAAUUGCUUGUGACAACGCGGCGCUCAUCUAGCCAGACGGACUGGGCUCACUGGGGGGGAAAGAUUGAGUGGAAUCCUGAGUUAAUAAAGUGUAAGAAUCCCCAGUUCACACAGGGAGCGAUAAUCGUCUCGUUUACAGGACGGUUGCGCUCCUCUGAGACGUAAGUGCACACGGACUCCGGUGCCUCAUGGCGAACAAAGCGACGGAGCAUAAAAACAACCAGACACCAACUCCCACCGCCUUCUGUCCAAAUCACAGCCAUUCAGUACCCAGCAUGCCCCAGCUCCCGCUCGCUCCCAUGCAGUCCCACAUGCACAAAACAGCCAUCGUUUUAAUGGGCGUCUGAAAUGGCCUGUUGGGAAAUAUGCAGUUUAGAAAAGAGUUGUGAAAUAAUUUAGGACACACACCAAAUAAAAGAUGACAAAUCCUCAAUUAUUUUCCAACUUCACCGAGAUAUCAUUCUUCUAUAUGAGCUGAUUCAAAUUGCCAAGGACCAGGAAACUAUCAUUUUUUUCACAAUGAUUAGUUUAACUCAUUUGCUGUCGGGCAGCAAUCGGGUUCGGUUGAUUCGAAGGUGGAUUGUCCGUUGAUUGUUGUCAGUGUUUAGUCGAGACGAAAGACUUCAGGAGAGCAAACAGCAGGAAAUAAGUGCAGCACAAUGUGUAACUGCUGUGUUCACAAUCCUUUCAGAAGGCCGCUUUGGUUUUCAGAUCUUUGGACACCGCUGGAGAACAUGUGUGGAGAGAAAAUAACCAUUAAAAGAAACAUUCCAAGGUUUUAAAGGUCUUAUUUAACUCGGCCUCCACUGACGCUGCAGGGAGAAAUGGAAAAACCAUUUUAGUUAUCAAUGUUUGGUUCAGUUAAAUAACGGCAACAUGAACAUCCCCCAAUAUUUACCACUAACAAGUAUGUAUGUAUGCACCUUCCAUGCGUACCACGUGAAAGCUUUUGAGACAAAUUGAUCUGGUUACAUAGAACAUACAUCCGCACGCAACAGCAUUCAAAAUUCCUGCUUAAUGGCUCUGCAUUUACAUGAAGCUAUAUGCAUAUAUAUGUUGACAGCUGCGUAAAAGACUUCUGCCUGUGAUUACAGAACUACAUUAACUGAAAAUACCUGCUGGAGCACAUUAUGCACACCUCGAAGUUAUAUGCAGAUGUGCUGCCUUCUAGACCACUUUGCCUCCAGUAGCUGUAUACAUUAAAAGUUUGAAAUUGCUGCGAUGAGUUAUCAGCAAGGCAAUUUCCGAUAAAGACCAAUAUUUUUCUUUCACUACUGAUCACGUAUUUGACAUGGUUGAGAAACACUUAGAGCCACCAUAACACUUCAUUUGCAGACUGGAAUCCUUCUCAUUGUUAAUCACACACAUCAGAGCGGUCACUGGAGCUGUAAAUUUGUCUAAUUGGAAAGUGCCUUCCUUCAUAGCUCCUCCUGGCCUUCUCCCCGUAUGGCACAGCACCAAACAGAACGGCAACUGGGCAACAGGCAACAACAAGGGAAGAAAAAGACAUGGACGGGAUAAAUAAUAUGAACACAGGAGGAGAACAGGGAAGGAAUUGCUGGGCUGAAACCGUGGGCUCAUUCUGACUAAUGAUUCAAUUUUAAGGUCAACAUCUGUAGUUUUUCUCCCUUAAAGUGUCAAACGCCUCUAAAGACUGUGGCAACCUAAAAGGACCCAACAGCCAAGCCGACUGGAGACCCACGAUGGGUCUUUCAGCAGAUUCUGAAGUUUGGUAAAGCUCCAGACGUGUUAUGUGCUGUGUUCUGAAGUGGAAGGUGAAGCGAUCCAGGACUUACUGUGUGACGCCUCGCAGCAGAGCGCUGAUGAUUGGAGCCCCCUUCUUUUUUAACUUGCACAGUUCUUUUCCUUGCUUCCUCACAGCGAGCUGCUCCGUCACUCCCGUUAAUGUGUCGUGUGCGUUCACUGACUCAUUCACCAACCAACAACCCAUAAAGCGCACAAUAAAAGGCUGAAAUUACAGAUCAUUGUCAAAUCUUUCGCUGCCAGGAAAAGACCAACAACUAAAAAUCACACAAUCUGCAGAAUAAAAUGCUUUUUUUUUUAAAUACCUUCUAGUGCUGUUCCCAUAAUUCUAAUUCUGUGGGUGGAAAAGGCCCUGAAGGCUAUAAACUUUUCAAUAUUCCAAUCUUAUUCUACCUCGCCGAUAACUGCCAGAGUUCGUUGAAAGAUAACUAAAAAGUUUCACUCACUGGCAGCCGCCAUCCUAUUGAUGACUGAGUGAAAUCCGGGAGCCAGAUGCAUCGGGUGAAGUGUUCAUCCUGCGUCCACAUACCCCGACGCCCAGGAAAUUUAAAUACCGUGGGUAGUACAAUAUCACCUCGCUUCCCACAAAGCCAGAUGCACACUGCAUGCAAAAUGCACCGUUGGCUUUUCUGGAAUUCAGUAAAAAUGUGAGGAGCAUAAUCAGGCGAGUUCCUAUCGGUUCUCAUCGAAGUUUGCACGGAUUUCUUGGGG
Long non-coding RNA from Gasterosteus aculeatus aculeatus (three-spined stickleback), 2490 nucleotides. The record is from Ensembl. NCBI's taxonomy places the organism in Eukaryota, Metazoa, Chordata, Actinopteri, Perciformes, Gasterosteidae.